RNAcentral lists this ribosomal RNA (543 nucleotides) under Alkalibacillus almallahensis. RNAcentral describes it as "bacterial SSU rRNA". It matches the Rfam family "Bacterial small subunit ribosomal RNA", at positions 72 to 596 of the family's 1533-position model. The record is from RNAcentral. Lineage: Bacteria; Bacillati; Bacillota; Bacilli; Caryophanales; Bacillaceae.
CUUCGGGGUGGACGCUCGUGGAACGAGCGGCGGACGGGUGAGUAACACGUGGGCAACCUACCUGUGAGACGGGGAUAACUCCGGGAAACCGGGGCUAAUACCGGAUAACGCAUCGAACCGCAUGGUUCGAUGAUCAAAGAUGGCUUCUAGCUAUCACUCACAGAUGGGCCCGCGGCGCAUUAGUUAGUUGGUGAGGUAACGGCUCACCAAGGCGACGAUGCGUAGCCGACCUGAGAGGGUGAUCGGCCACACUGGGACUGAGACACGGCCCAGACUCCUACGGGAGGCAGCAGUAGGGAAUCAUCCGCAAUGGACGCAAGUCUGACGGUGCAACGCCGCGUGAGCGAUGAAGGUCUUCGGAUCGUAAAGCUCUGUUGUGAGGGAAGAACAAGUGCCGUUCGAAUAGGGCGGCACCUUGACGGUACCUCACCAGAAAGCCCCGGCUAACUACGUGCCAGCAGCCGCGGUAAUACGUAGGGGGCAAGCGUUGUCCGGAAUUAUUGGGCGUAAAGCGCGCGCAGGCGGUUCCUUAAGUCUGAUGUG